GUAUACCUUGCCCGAUCAGGUAGCCCUCUAGAACGAAAUCAGUAGCGCGGUCAUCAUAUUUAAAUUGGAUGUAGGAGGGACGCCCCUCUAUGCGGUCAUAGUUGACCUGUACAGGUACAAGCCUGUGUGAGGAACAAAUGGACGGCACCAUAGUGUGUUGAGUGUAUGAGAGAGUCGCACUCUGUAAAAUGUGAUCGCACUCUGAGUCCGCGCACGGUUGGUGGUAUGAG
RNAcentral lists this long non-coding RNA (230 nucleotides) under Pelobates cultripes (western spadefoot toad). The record is from RNAcentral. Lineage: Eukaryota; Metazoa; Chordata; Amphibia; Anura; Pelobatidae.